Molecule: long non-coding RNA, 542 nt
Filed under: Vombatus ursinus (common wombat)
Lineage: Eukaryota; Metazoa; Chordata; Mammalia; Diprotodontia; Vombatidae
Description: lncRNA (ENSVURG00010021498.1)
Source: RNAcentral
AGUGUCAUCCCGGCUGAAAGUCGACCUUGUGUGGAUUGCCAUGCUUUUGAGUUCAUGCAGAGAGCCCUCCAGGACCUGAAGAAGACUGCCUACAACCUGGACACACGGACAGAGACCCUCCUCCUACAGGCUGAAAGAAGGGCCCUGUGUGAAUGCUGGCCGGUGGUGUCCUAGGCCAAUCCCGUUUCUACCCUGCAGUUAAAAAAAAACAACAAAAAAAAAACCAACCCAAAACUGCAGGAAACUGGCUGAAGAUGUAAGCCUCUGAACCUCCCCAGCCAGAAAGGGGUUGUUUCUCCUCCUUUCCCCAGAGCACAUCUCCCCUGCUUCUGCCUGCAUCACCUCAGCUCUGGCCCCUGCACUGUGAACACUUGUGUCUGUGGCCCAGGGAGCUCUUGACACAAAGCCACUUUGUCUUUGGUCCCUCCCACCUCCCUUUCAGGACCCCUUAUCCCCGUCCUGGGCCCUGCCUCCCAUCCAAACUAAGGUGCUAAGGUAUUAUUGACAGGAAGACCUCCCCAAAGCUGUGAGCGCCUCGGGGU